GCCAGGCGUGAUGGCUCACGCCUAUAAUCCCAGCACUUUGGGAGGCUGAGGCAGGCAAAUUGCUUGAGCCCAGGAGUUCGAGAGCAGCCUGUGCAACAGGGUGAAACCCUGUCUCUACAAAAAAUUAGCCAGGCAUGGUGGUAUGCACAUGUAGUCCCAGCUACUCAGGAGGCUGAGGCAGAAGGAUCACUUGAGCCCAGGAGGGAGAGGUUGCAGUGAGCCGAGAUUGCAGCCGCUGCACUCCAGCCUGGGCAACAGAGUGAGACCCUGUCUCA
This is an unclassified non-coding RNA of Pan paniscus (pygmy chimpanzee), 275 nucleotides long. It matches the Rfam family "Metazoan signal recognition particle RNA". Rfam says of the family: The signal recognition particle (SRP) is a universally conserved ribonucleoprotein. It is involved in the co-translational targeting of proteins to membranes. NCBI's taxonomy places the organism in Eukaryota, Metazoa, Chordata, Mammalia, Primates, Hominidae. The record is from Ensembl.